RNAcentral lists this long non-coding RNA (343 nucleotides) under Setaria viridis. Its description in RNAcentral is "long non-coding RNA (SVIR_LNC008296)". Lineage: Eukaryota; Viridiplantae; Streptophyta; Magnoliopsida; Poales; Poaceae. The record is from RNAcentral.
AAACACACACAUUUAGAUAAGUGGGUAUGUGCAAGUGGCAAAUGAAUGAUUCUAAGGCACAAAUAAAGUCCUCGUUAUCGAAUUGCACAUGGUUGGAAAAUAAGUAUAGAUCAAUCAUUAAUAUUGAGAGCAUUGGGAACUUUCAAUGAGACUUAAAGAACCGAGGAAUAUUUUAUUAAUUUUCUCCUUUAUUUUUUCUCUUAUUCAUUCAUUUUUCUGUUCUUUCUUCUUUCUUUCUUUUUCCUCAUUUUUCUUUCUGUUUCCUCAUUUUUUUUAUUUUACUCCUUAGAACUUCUUGCAACAUAGUACUUUACUCAGCAGUAGUCAGGGAUAAUGCAAUGAC